CUUGGGAUGCACCAAACCAAGGCCAUGGACAGAGAGACUAUCCAUGACAAUGUCCGGUUGGUUGCCUAAUAUACCAGGAGACUGAACUGGAUAUGCCAAUGCAGUGUCAUAAUGCUCCAUACCAGCAGCUGCUGGUUUUACUCCACCCCAGUAACCAGCUAAAGCAUGCCAUACAUAUACAAACUUCACAUUGUGACAUUUCUUGGCAUCUUCCACAACAUGCUUUAGUCCUCUGGCCUCCUCAGUAUUUUCACCAUUCUUCUGAAAUUUUGCAUUCUCCUUUAUUCCAGUGAGCCUUCUUGCAAAUUGUGCUCCUUCUUGCACAACAGCAUUAGUAUCUUCCUUGGGCUUGUUUUCAAUCUGUUGCCAACCAUCAUCUAUGAUCAAAAAUCGUGGAGGAGUCCCUCCCUCUGAUAGGCUUUUAAGGCCUUCCUCAACACCCUCAGCUGUGACAUCAGUGUAAAAUGCAUCCCAAGUGCACCAGCCAAACCAGUCAAGGAAAGACGGCAACUUUUUCUUCUCUCGAUGAAGAAAAGUUUGCAUGUGUUUUUCCAAAGCCUUUACAGCUUGGUUGAUAACUUCAAAUGGGUUAGUCCCAGCAUGCAUGUAGACUAGGUAAAGGCCCUGCUUAGUUUCAACAGUAUCAUCCCC
This 651-nucleotide unclassified non-coding RNA is filed under the name Hevea brasiliensis (rubber tree). The record is from RNAcentral. Lineage: Eukaryota; Viridiplantae; Streptophyta; Magnoliopsida; Malpighiales; Euphorbiaceae.